GUCGAGCGGUAACAGAAAGUAGCUUGCUACUUUGCUGACGAGCGGCGGACGGGUGAGUAAUGCUUGGGAACAUGCCUUGAGGUGGGGGACAACAGUUGGAAACGACUGCUAAUACCGCAUAAUGUCUACGGACCAAAGGGGGCUUCGGCUCUCGCCUUUAGAUUGGCCCAAGUGGGAUUAGCUAGUUGGUGAGGUAAUGGCUCACCAAGGCGACGAUCCCUAGCUGGUUUGAGAGGAUGAUCAGCCACACUGGGACUGAGACACGGCCCAGACUCCUACGGGAGGCAGCAGUGGGGAAUAUUGCACAAUGGGCGCAAGCCUGAUGCAGCCAUGCCGCGUGUGUGAAGAAGGCCUUCGGGUUGUAAAGCACUUUCAGUCAGGAGGAAAGGGUGGUGGUUAAUACCCGUCAUGUGUGACGUUACUGACAGAAGAAGCACCGGCUAACUCCGUGCCAGCAGCCGCGGUAAUACGGAGGGUGCGAGCGUUAAUCGGAAUUACUGGGCGUAAAGCGUACGCAGGCGGUUUGUUAAGCGAGAUGUGAAAGCCCCGGGCUCAACCUGGGAACUGCAUUUCGAACUGGCAAACUAGAGUGUGAUAGAGGGUGGUAGAAUUUCAGGUGUAGCGGUGAAAUGCGUAGAGAUCUGAAGGAAUACCGAUGGCGAAGGCAGCCACCUGGGUCAACACUGACGCUCAUGUACGAAGCGUGGGGAGCAAACGGGAU
Molecule: ribosomal RNA, 721 nt
Filed under: gamma proteobacterium GM30
Lineage: Bacteria; Pseudomonadati; Pseudomonadota; Gammaproteobacteria
Description: bacterial SSU rRNA
Rfam family: Bacterial small subunit ribosomal RNA
Source: RNAcentral